GAUGAACGCUGGCGGCGUGCCUAAUACAUGCAAGUCGAGCGAACGGACGAGAAGCCUGCUUCUCUGAUGUUAGCGGCGGACGGGUGAGUAACACGUGGAUAACCUACCUAUAAGACUGGGAUAACUUCGGGAAACCGGAGCUAAUACCGUAUAAUAUUUUGAACCGCAUGGUUCAAAAGUGAAAGACGGUCUUGCUGUCACUUAUAGAUGGAUCCGCGCUGCAUUAGCUAGUUGGUAAGGUAACGGCUUACCAAGGCAACGAUGCAUAGCCGACCUGAGAGGGUGAUCGGCCACACUGGAACUGAGACACGGUCCAGACUCCUACGGGAGGCAGCAGUAGGGAAUCUUCCGCAAUGGGCGAAAGCCUGACGGAGCAACGCCGCGUGAGUGAUGAAGGUCUUCGGAUCGUAAAACUCUGUUAUUAGGGAAGAACAUAUGUGUAAGUAACUGUGCACAGCUUGACGGUACCUAAUCAGAAAGCCACGGCUAACUACGUG
This 497-nucleotide ribosomal RNA is filed under the name uncultured bacterium. RNAcentral's name for it is "partial 16S ribosomal RNA". It matches the Rfam family "Bacterial small subunit ribosomal RNA", at positions 28 to 507 of the family's 1533-position model. The record is from RNAcentral.